UGGGGAAUAUUGGACAAUGGGCGAAAGCCUGAUCCAGCCAUGCCGCGUGUGUGAAGAAGGUCUUCGGAUUGUAAAGCACUUUAAGUUGGGAGGAAGGGCAGUAAGCGAAUACCUUGCUGUUUUGACGUUACCGACAGAAUAAGCACCGGCUAACUCUGUGCCAGCAGCCGCGGUAAUACAGAGGGUGCAAGCGUUAAUCGGAAUUACUGGGCGUAAAGCGCGCGUAGGUGGUUCGUUAAGUUGAAUGUGAAAGCCCCGGGCUCAACCUGGGAACUGCAUCCAAAACUGGCGAGCUAGAGUAGGGCAGAGGGUGGUGGAAUUUCCUGUGUAGCGGUGAAAUGCGUAGAUAUAGGAAGGAACACCAGUGGCGAAGGCGACCACCUGGGCUCAUACUGACACUGAGGUGCGAAAGCGUGAGGAGCAAACAGG
This 429-nucleotide ribosomal RNA is filed under the name Pseudomonadota bacterium. RNAcentral describes it as "Proteobacteria bacterium partial 16S ribosomal RNA". It matches the Rfam family "Bacterial small subunit ribosomal RNA", at positions 355 to 776 of the family's 1533-position model. The record is from RNAcentral. Lineage: Bacteria; Pseudomonadati; Pseudomonadota.